RNAcentral lists this ribosomal RNA (460 nucleotides) under Meyerozyma caribbica. Its description in RNAcentral is "LSU rRNA". It matches the Rfam family "Eukaryotic large subunit ribosomal RNA", at positions 169 to 646 of the family's 3401-position model. The record is from RNAcentral. Lineage: Eukaryota; Fungi; Ascomycota; Pichiomycetes; Serinales; Debaryomycetaceae.
GUUGGCUCUUGUCUAUGUUUCUUGGAACAGGACGUCACAGAGGGUGAGAAUCCCGUGCGAUGAGAUGCCCAAUCCUAUGUAAGGUGCUUUCGAAGAGUCGAGUUGUUUGGGAAUGCAGCUCUAAGUGGGUGGUAAAUUCCAUCUAAAGCUAAAUAUUGGCGAGAGACCGAUAGCGAACAAGUACAGUGAUGGAAAGAUGAAAAGAACUUUGAAAAGAGAGUGAAAAAGUACGUGAAAUUGUUGAAAGGGAAGGGUUUGAGAUCAGACUCGAUAUUUUGUGAGCCUUGCCUUCGUGGCGGGGUGACCCGCAGCUUAUCGGGCCAGCAUCGGUUUGGGCGGUAGGAUAAUGGCGUAGGAAUGUGACUUUGCUUCGGUGAAGUGUUAUAGCCUGCGUUGAUGCUGCCUGCCUAGACCGAGGACUGCGAUUUUAUCAAGGAUGCUGGCAUAAUGAUCCCAAACC